GUUUUUCCAGUAAAGGGUAACUAACUGGCCUCGGAGGAAAAGCGCACUGCAGCAGGAUGAGCAAGCCCGUGCCAGCCGGAACUGCCAAGGCUGCCCCACGGUGGCAACCUGCUAGCCACCACCUGUCCAGCCACCUGCCUGAGGAAGCCCUUCCAACAAGGAGGGCUCACCUCGGCAAGAAACCAUACGCAGUUUUCAAGAGGAACCAGAAAGGAAAAGCAAAGGGUGCAACUUUAUUCUUAGGGAAAGACAACAAAAAGGCAUGUGUCUCUCUGCACUGCAACCCGAGCGGCUGGAGUUCUCCACGGAGAGAGUUCUGAGCCCAGCGGGGGUGAGGACCCCGCAGCGGGCUGAGCAGUGGAGGGAGAGCCUGACGCAGGUGAGUACGGGAAGCUGCACCCGGUGCUCAGACCUACAGACCCCCCAGGCCUCGGGGAGCACGCGCCUGCGGCCCCCGCAGCGGUCCCCGCAGCGGCCCCAGCAGCACGCCGGGCCUCGGUCUCCUCAGCGGCGGCGCCCACCUGCGCCCAGUCCCCGCAGACCGGUCCCCGCGGCCCCGUCCUCGCGGCCCGGUCCCCGCGGUCCGUUAAGCCGCGGCGCGCUCGGCCCCGUAGCAGCGACCGCAGGACCUCGGGCCCGGCAGGGCCUGGGCGGCCGCUCGCACACGGUCACGGGCCUCGGCAGGGACCGCGGCGUGAGGGGCGCGCGCCCGGCCGACGCCGCGGGCUCACCUUCUGCCGGAUCUGGCCCGACGUGGACACCUUACGGAUAAGCUUCUGCGGGGAGCCCGGCUCAGCCUCGGGUUCACUGUCGGACGACUCCUCAGGCGGCGGCGGCGGAG
Molecule: long non-coding RNA, 841 nt
Organism: Mus musculus (house mouse)
Lineage: Eukaryota; Metazoa; Chordata; Mammalia; Rodentia; Muridae
Product: predicted gene, 19582
Exons: 2
Source: RefSeq, marked validated